This is a ribosomal RNA of 1325 nucleotides. It matches the Rfam family "Bacterial large subunit ribosomal RNA", at positions 1587 to 2925 of the family's 2925-position model.
GAAGUCUUUGAUUCCCCGCUGCCAAGAAAAGCUUCUAGCGAGAUAAAAGGUGCCUGUACCGCAAACCGACACAGGUAGGCGAGGAGAGAAUCCUAAGGUGUGCGAGAGAACUCUGGUUAAGGAACUCGGCAAAAUGACCCCGUAACUUCGGGAGAAGGGGUGCUUUCUUAACGGAAAGCCGCAGUGAAUAGGCCCAAGCGACUGUUUAGCAAAAACACAGGUCUCUGCGAAGCCGUAAGGCGAAGUAUAGGGGCUGACACCUGCCCGGUGCUGGAAGGUUAAGGAGAGGGGUUAGCGUAAGCGAAGCUCUGAACUGAAGCCCCAGUAAACGGCGGCCGUAACUAUAACGGUCCUAAGGUAGCGAAAUUCCUUGUCGGGUAAGUUCCGACCCGCACGAAAGGUGUAACGAUUUGGGCACUGUCUCAACCAGAGACUCGGUGAAAUUAUAGUACCUGUGAAGAUGCAGGUUACCCGCGACAGGACGGAAAGACCCCGUGGAGCUUUACUGUAGCCUGAUAUUGAAUUUUGGUACAGUUUGUACAGGAUAGGCGGGAGCCAUUGAAACCGGAGCGCUAGCUUCGGUGGAGGCGCUGGUGGGAUACCGCCCUGACUGUAUUGAAAUUCUAACCUACGGGUCUUAUCGACCCGGGAGACAGUGUCAGGUGGGCAGUUUGACUGGGGCGGUCGCCUCCUAAAGUGUAACGGAGGCGCCCAAAGGUUCCCUCAGAAUGGUUGGAAAUCAUUCGUAGAGUGCAAAGGCAUAAGGGAGCUUGACUGCGAGACCUACAAGUCGAGCAGGGACGAAAGUCGGGCUUAGUGAUCCGGUGGUUCCGCAUGGAAGGGCCAUCGCUCAACGGAUAAAAGCUACCCCGGGGAUAACAGGCUUAUCUCCCCCAAGAGUCCACAUCGACGGGGAGGUUUGGCACCUCGAUGUCGGCUCAUCGCAUCCUGGGGCUGUAGUCGGUCCCAAGGGUUGGGCUGUUCGCCCAUUAAAGCGGUACGCGAGCUGGGUUCAGAACGUCGUGAGACAGUUCGGUCCCUAUCCGUCGUGGGCGCAGGAAAUUUGAGAGGAGCUGUCCUUAGUACGAGAGGACCGGGAUGGACGCACCGCUGGUGUACCAGUUGUUCUGCCAAGGGCAUAGCUGGGUAGCUAUGUGCGGAAGGGAUAAGUGCUGAAAGCAUCUAAGCAUGAAGCCCCCCUCAAGAUGAGAUUUCCCAUAGCGUAAGCUAGUAAGAUCCCUGAAAGAUGAUCAGGUUGAUAGGUUCGAGGUGGAAGCAUGGUGACAUGUGGAGCUGACGAAUACUAAUAGAUCGAGGACUUAACC